Molecule: ribosomal RNA, 406 nt
Filed under: uncultured bacterium
Lineage: Bacteria
Description: partial 16S ribosomal RNA
Rfam family: Bacterial small subunit ribosomal RNA
Source: RNAcentral
AUUGAACGCUGGCGGCAGGCUUAACACAUGCAAGUCGAGCGAGCGGCGGACGGGUGAGUAAUGCCUGGGAAACUGCCUGAUGGAGGGGGAUAACUACUGGAAACGGUAGCUAAUACCGCAUACCAUCGGAUGUGCCCAGAUGGGAUUAGCUAGUAGGUGGGGUAAUGGCUCACCUAGGCGACGAUCCCUAGCUGGUCUGAGAGGAUGACCAGCCACACUGGAACUGAGACACGGUCCAGACUCCUACGGGAGGCAGCAGUGGGGAAUAUUGCACAAUGGGCGCAACCCUGACGCAGCCAUGCCGCGUGUGUGAAGAAGGCCUUCGGGUUGUAAAGCACUUUCAGUGAGGAGGCGUUACUCGCAGAAGAAGCACCGGCUAACUCCGUGCCAGCCGCCGCGGUAAUAC